This 433-nucleotide ribosomal RNA is filed under the name uncultured Sphingobacteriales bacterium. Its description in RNAcentral is "bacterial SSU rRNA". It matches the Rfam family "Bacterial small subunit ribosomal RNA", at positions 945 to 1382 of the family's 1533-position model. The record is from RNAcentral. Lineage: Bacteria; Pseudomonadati; Bacteroidota; Sphingobacteriia; Sphingobacteriales.
UUUAAUUCGAUGAUACGCGAGGAACUUACCUGGGCUCAAAUGUAUGUUGACGUAUUCUGAAAGGGAUACUUCUCGGACAAUAUACAAGGUGCUGCAUGGUUGUCGUCAGCUCGUGCCGUGAGGUGUCGGGUUAAGUCCCAUAACGAGCGCAACCCCUAUCAUUAGUUGCCAUCAGGUCAAGCUGGGGACUCUAAUGAAACUGCCUACGCAAGUAGUGAGGAAGGUGGGGAUGACGUCAAAUCAGCACGGCCCUUACGUCCAGGGCUACACACGUGCUACAAUGGCCGAUACAGAGGGCAGCUACCUGGUGACAGGAUGCAAAUCUCCAAAGUCGGUCUCAGUUCGGAUCGGAGUCUGCAACCCGACUCCGUGAAGUUGGAUUCGCUAGUAAUCGCGCAUCAGCCAUGGCGCGGUGAAUACGUUCCCGGGCCUU